This is a long non-coding RNA of Paralichthys olivaceus (Japanese flounder), 248 nucleotides long. RefSeq lists it as uncharacterized. Lineage: Eukaryota; Metazoa; Chordata; Actinopteri; Pleuronectiformes; Paralichthyidae. The record is from RefSeq and is a predicted model, not a curated record.
GAACCAGGAAACCCUGCAUGAGACAUUUGGCAUCGACGAUUAAGAGGAGGAAGAGAUACUUCCACCUCCUGCAGGAAGAAGAGGAGGAGGAGGAGGAGGAGGAAGAAACCUCCCAGUUUCUCCUCAGCCAUUCAGGACAAUGAGGCAGAACUCACAGAUCUAUUUCAAUCAACAGCUGGAGCCACAUACUGUAACUUUAUGGACCAGCUGAUCAGGUGACCCCAACCCACGACCUCUGACCUCUGACC